RNAcentral lists this ribosomal RNA (459 nucleotides) under uncultured bacterium. RNAcentral's name for it is "partial 16S ribosomal RNA". It matches the Rfam family "Bacterial small subunit ribosomal RNA", at positions 338 to 795 of the family's 1533-position model. The record is from RNAcentral.
CCUACGGGUGGCAGCAGUGAGGAAUAUUGGUCAAUGGGCGGAAGCCUGAACCAGCCAAGUAGCGUGCGGGAUGAAGGCCCUACGGGUUGUAAACCGCUUUUGCACGGGGAUAACAUUCUCCACUUGUGCAGGUUUGCAGGUACCGUGCGAAUAAGGGUCGGCUAACUCCGUGCCAGCAGCCGCGGUAAUACGGAAGGUCCGAGCGUUAUCCGGAUUUAUUGGGUUUAAAGGGAGCGUAGGCGGGCGUUAAAGUCAGCGGUAAAAUUGCGCGGCUCAACCUCCCCCCGCAGUUGAAACUGGGCGCCUUGAGUGCACAAGAGGCAGGCGGAAUUCGUGGUGUAGCGGUGAAAUGCAUAGAUAUCACGAAGAACCCCGAUUGCGAAGGCAGCCUGCCGGAGUGCAACUGACGCUGAGGCUCGAAGGUGCGGGUAUCAAACAGGAUUAGAUACCCGAGUAGUC